ACAAAGGAGGUUUCUUUGAAAUCUCAGGGUUGGCCUCCAACCGCAGGAGAGAAUAGCCACACGGAAAUGCUUUGUUUCUCAACCUCACUAAGAAGGAAAAAAAGGAGCAAAAUGUAGGGUGUGGCGAAAGUAAGAUUAUAUUCUCUUUGUUCCACUGGGCUAUCUCGGUCAAGGAGGGACAAGUUGGACAAACUGAAAUCAGUGUACAGCAAGUGGGGACGACAGGCAAGAAGCGCGCUCGCAAGGCCCCCCAUUCCGGGAGAGGAAAGCUCCACUUUCCAGAAAGCGCCCUUCAUCGUCUCGCUGAUGAGAUUCUGUAUCUGCACACGGAACAUCGUCACGCCGCCUCGAUUUCCCAGUUCUCUGCCCCUCAGCCCUGGAGCAGCCCUUCUGAGUCGGUGUGUACGAAUAUAACCACGCCCACUUGCCUGCAAACAUUCCAUCAGGCGGGAAGGAGGGUGGCUGCAUCCGGGUACGCUGGAAAAAACGGCUAGCUCAUCCACCCUGGACCCUGCCACCUUUUCCUCUUUUCUGCCAUAAGUCACUAUUUGUUCCGGAUUGAGCAAGUGGCCUGGCUGAGGCUGGGAUAAAAUGUUCUGCUUCAGAACCCAGGCCCUGGAAUACAAAUUCCGGGGUUGGAAUCCCAGGUCUGCCACUUGGUGGCUGUGUGACUGUGAGCAAAUUACUUAAACCCUCUGUGCCUUGGUUUUCUCAUACAAAAAAUGCACAAUAGUAAUAACCUCCCAUAGUUGUUAUGAGAAUAAAAUGAAUAUUUAAUAUACUAUACAU
Long non-coding RNA from Equus caballus (horse), 789 nucleotides. The record is from Ensembl. NCBI's taxonomy places the organism in Eukaryota, Metazoa, Chordata, Mammalia, Perissodactyla, Equidae.